AACGUAGGGGACAAGCGUUAUCCGGAUUUACUGGGCGUAAAGCGCCCGUAGGCGGCUUAACAAGUUGGAUGUGAAAGCUCCCGGCUUAACUGGGAGAGGUCAUUCAAAACUGUUAGGCUAGAGGAUGGAAGAGGAGAGCGGAAUUCCCGGUGUAGUGGUGGAAUGCGUAGAGAUCGGGAGGAACACCGGUGGCGAAGGCGGCAUCCUGGACCGAUAUUGACGCUGAUGCGCGAAAGCCAGGGGAGCAAACGGG
This 253-nucleotide ribosomal RNA is filed under the name uncultured bacterium. RNAcentral describes it as "partial 16S ribosomal RNA". It matches the Rfam family "Bacterial small subunit ribosomal RNA", at positions 524 to 776 of the family's 1533-position model. The record is from RNAcentral.